UGGGGAAUAUUGGACAAUGGGCGCAAGCCUGAUCCAGCCAUGCCGCGUGUGUGAAGAAGGCCUUCGGGUUGUAAAGCACUUUUGUUGGGGAAGAAACCGGCCGGAUUAAUACUUCGGUUGAAUGACGGUACCCAAAGAAUAAGCACCGGCUAACUUCGUGCCAGCAGCCGCGGUAAUACGAAGGGUGCAAGCGUUACUCGGAAUUACUGGGCGUAAAGCGUGCGUAGGCGGUUGGUUAAGUCUGCUGUGAAAGCCCUGGGCUCAACCUGGGAACUGCAGUGGAUACUGGCCAGCUAGAGUGUGUCAGAGGAUGGUGGAAUUCCCGGUGUAGCGGUGAAAUGCGUAGAGAUCGGGAGGAACACCAGUGGCGAAGGCGGCCAUCUGGGACAACACUGACGCUGAGGCACGAAAGCGUGGGGAGCAAACAG
This 428-nucleotide ribosomal RNA is filed under the name uncultured bacterium. RNAcentral's name for it is "bacterial SSU rRNA". It matches the Rfam family "Bacterial small subunit ribosomal RNA", at positions 355 to 775 of the family's 1533-position model. The record is from RNAcentral.